Molecule: long non-coding RNA, 500 nt
Organism: Mus musculus (house mouse)
Lineage: Eukaryota; Metazoa; Chordata; Mammalia; Rodentia; Muridae
Product: predicted gene, 53441
Exons: 2
Source: RefSeq, a predicted model, not a curated record
GGAGCCCUCCGAGCCAGCCUCUGGGGCUCGGAACCUGGAACGCAACGGUGCCGGGGUGGGGGUGGCCUGGCCAUUGAUGCCCAGCCUGGGAGGAAAGUACGUUGCUGCCACUCAAGAAGAUGGGGCUGAUGCUCCCAGAUGGUAAGACAAAUUAGGAACUUAACCCACAGCAGAUGAAUCAAUUUCUUAGGAAUCGAGGAUCAACACUGGAGUAUUUCUUCAGAAAGCUUCCUUGGAGGUGGCAACAAGGGAGCAGAGCCAUUUGCACACCUGGACAAAGUCAGAAGGGUCAUUUUCAGUCAUUAUACCUCGUUUAAGAAGCAAUUCACAUACAGCAACUAUUUUCAUCCAUGCAUUCUUGGUAACCAUAAGAAACUUUAUCACGUGUGAAUAAGCUGUAAGUAGCAGAUCCAGGAACACUAUUGUUCUCUUUUUGAGUCUAAUUCAGUCAUAGGUAACUGUGACCGACUUUCAAUAAACAUUACCUAUUAGCCAUCUUA